GAAGACAUAAACUCGAGAACAGAAAG
RNAcentral lists this non-coding RNA (26 nucleotides) under Gossypium hirsutum (cotton). Lineage: Eukaryota; Viridiplantae; Streptophyta; Magnoliopsida; Malvales; Malvaceae. The record is from RNAcentral.